UUUAAUAAAUCUCCGUCAUCGAUCCCCUAUCUCGCUACUAGGAUGCUUAAAUUAGAGGUUUUGAUUUCAUUGAAACUCUUCAAGAUUGAAUCGAUGCCGCAUAUAUUGAACUUAGAUCCGAAUUUUGCACAUUUCUUCUUCCCUUUCACUUUUUUGGUGGUUGCAAUCCGUCCAUCCGGCUCUCUUUUUGGUGGUUGUAAUCUGUCAAUUCGUUUUUGGAUUGGUGAGAAAAUUGACCUCCAAGACUUGAUAUGAUAGUGAUUGAAUAGGCGACGGAUCUUGACAGGAGAAAAAAAAGGAGGAAGAUAACAAACCUUAGAGCUAACGGUCAGAAUUUCUGACGGAGGAGGCAACACAUGCUCACCAAAAGGACAUCUCACCGAUCAGAGUUGUCGCCACUUUUUCUAGAGAGAGCAUGAUGACGCGGUAAG
This 431-nucleotide long non-coding RNA is filed under the name Panax ginseng (ginseng). Its description in RNAcentral is "long non-coding RNA (PGIN_LNC017576)". Lineage: Eukaryota; Viridiplantae; Streptophyta; Magnoliopsida; Apiales; Araliaceae. The record is from RNAcentral.